This 868-nucleotide ribosomal RNA is filed under the name uncultured Idiomarina sp. Its description in RNAcentral is "bacterial SSU rRNA". It matches the Rfam family "Bacterial small subunit ribosomal RNA", at positions 597 to 1465 of the family's 1533-position model. Lineage: Bacteria; Pseudomonadati; Pseudomonadota; Gammaproteobacteria; Alteromonadales; Idiomarinaceae. The record is from RNAcentral.
AAAGCCCCGGGCCCACCUGGGAAUUGCAUUUUGAACCGGCCUGGCUAAGUCCUGAAGAGGGUGGUAGAAUUUCCAGGGUAGCGGUGAAAUGCGUAGAUAUUGGAAGGAAUACCGGUGGCGAAGGCGGCCCCCUUGUCAGAGANCUGACGCUGAGGUACGAAAGCGUGAGGAGCAAACAGGAUUAGAUACCCUGGUAGUCCACGCCGUAAACGAUGUCAACUAGUUGUUCGUGUCAUUAAGACGUGAGUAACGCAGCUAACGCACUAAGUUGACCGCCUGGGGAGUACGGCCGCAAGGUUAAAACUCAAAUGAAUUGACGGGGGCCCGCACAAGCGGUGGAGCAUGUGGUUUAAUUCGAUGCAACGCGAAGAACCUUACCAUCCCUUGACAUCCAGUGAAUUUUUCAGAGAUGAAUUAGAGCCUUCGGGAACACUGAGACAGGUGCUGCAUGGCUGUCGUCAGCUCGUGUUGUGAGAUGUUGGGUUAAGUCCCGCAACGAGCGCAACCCUUAUCCUUAGUUGCCAGCACGUAAAGGUGGGAACUCCAGGGAGACUGCCGGUGAUAAACCGGAGGAAGGUGGGGACGACGUCAAGUCAUCAUGGCCCUUACGAGUAGGGCUACACACGUGCUACAAUGGCGUAUACAGAGGGCUGCCAACCAGCGAUGGUGAGCGAAUCCCACAAAGUACGUCGUAGUCCGGAUUGGAGUCUGCAACUCGACUCCAUGAAGUCGGAAUCGCUAGUAAUCGUAGAUCAGAAUGCUACGGUGAAUACGUUCCCGGGCCUUGUACACACCGCCCGUCACACCAUGGGAGUGGGUUGCUCCAGAAGUAGCUAGUCUAACCUUCGGGGGGACGGUACCACGGAGG